AUAGAGAGGAGAGACAUGAGCCGACAUUCACGCCUGCAUGUUUUGAACAUGAUAGAUUAUUUUAUGGGGAAGAAGAAACUAGAUAGAAACAACGUGCGCAACCAGGUCUUUGCACAGUUUGAUCUAUUUAAGGAAAAGUCAAGGGAAAUUCAUCCACGCUCUGCCUCUGGGUUGGAACAAAAAUGUUUUCAGGAGCUACAAUGCGCUGAUGAAGAAGAACAGGGAUUAUCCAGGAGAUGCAUAGUUUAUGAAACUGGCAGUUGUCGUGCGUAAAUGGCAAGAGUGGCAUUAGACUGAAUCGAGAGGGAAUGAGGGAGAGAGAGGGGAGGCAGGGGCGACUGAGGGAGAGAAAGUGACGGAGCAAUAGAGUGAAGAACCAGCAAAGGGAGAGAGAGGGAGGGAAAACGAGAGAGAGACAGACAGACAGAUAGAGAGGGAGAGAGAGGGAGAGGGGGUCUGCAAGGCGACUUGGUUGGCAGUAUUUGCCUCUGCCUCUCCAGCAGCGGGAGAGAUGUGCGUAACAUGCAGCGGAGAGCGGUGAUCAUCAUCUGCGCGCCGCAUCGCCGUGGACCGCCGUGCGCACUCGAAGACAGAGACACACCGAGGGGUCGCAGCCCGCUCUGCCGAACCUGUCGCGAGUGAGACGGCAGCACAGCCGAGGAAAGACUUCUGAAAGGAAAAGGGGAAAGAGAAGAAGUGGCGUGAGGGAAGAUGUCAGCCCUUCAGACGGUGAUUGGGGGUUAACAGUCCUACUGUUUGGAGCCACUGUGACGCACCGGCGGCGAAACAAGAGCGCAUAUUUGUGUUGUUGUUACACGGAAUCCCAGUCCUCUCUGUUUCAUCUAAAAUCGGACGAUCAAGUGAGGAUUUUGCACGAAGGGAAUGAAUGCCGAAUUACAUGGCCAAAAGAAUAUGAGUCAGUGCAUGUCUGUGAGCUGAGGUGGAGUGUGUCUCUCCUGCUGCACGGCUGUCUCGGUCCGCCUCAUACCUUCCUACGCCAGGAUGCAGCUGCUCAGAGUUGCGUGGGCACUGACCGGGGCGGCGAUCUGCUGCUUUCUCAUUCUCCUUAUUCACUCCCGCCUGCUCAAAGAAGGCCAGCUGGCAGCGGGGACAUGUGAGAUUGUGACACUGGACAGGGACAGCAGCCAACCACGGCGGACCAUCGCCAGGCAGACGGCCCGCUGCGCCUGUAAGAAGGGCCAGAUCGCUGGAACUACAAGAGCCAGACCUGCCUGUGUGGACGCUGGUAUUGUUCGGAAAAAGCAGUGGUGUGAGAUGGUGCCAUGUUUGGAGGACGAAGGCUGUGACCUGUUAGUCAAUAAAUCUGGCUGGACUUGUACACAGCCCGGAGGCCGAGUCAAAACCACCACGGCUCUAUGACGCGACAAGAGUCCCCCUCGACCCUCUUGCACUUUGGAGAGCAUUGAUGACCCCUUGACAGACAACCAAAACCCAUCUACCAACACCACCCUACCACCACCACCAACAACAUCACAAGUCCACCCAAACCCUGGUCCCGCAAAGGCAGGAAGCAACACAAGCAGCUACAGAGCACCAAGAGCCUCAUGGAGGCAGCAAGGUCUCAUAACACAGCCAGAGACAGGAAAACCAGGGAAUGACUGUUUGAGGGAGCAAACUGUCCCCUGGACACUGGACAAAGUACUCACUGUAAAACACUGUCUUUUUCCUGUGACCGGCUUCUCCGGGUUUGUGACUGCUCCCUCCUGCUAUCUGUCGUUGGGUCAAAAUGUUGCGUCCACCUUCUCUCCAACCUGUCUGCCUGCUCUGUGAAGCUAGCAGCGCCUGCUCGUGCCAUGGGGGGAUCGGACAUCGUAAAAAUCACGUGGAUGGUUUUUUGCCUCAUGGGAAGUCCUCUGUUUCAAACUGCUUUGAAUAAGGGAUUUCCCGUAUCACACCCGAGCCUCUGGGGCAGGAGUUCCGGACGGGAUCAUUGCAGACCAGAUCCUGUUGCUUCCUGGACCACCUUGUGAGGCUGUAAA
RNA transcript from Scatophagus argus, 2000 nucleotides. It is a transcript of the gene named chemokine-like protein TAFA-5, with no coding region annotated. The transcript has 5 exons. The record is from RefSeq and is a predicted model, not a curated record. Lineage: Eukaryota; Metazoa; Chordata; Actinopteri; Scatophagidae.